GAACGCUUGCUGCAUGCUUUAUACAUGCAAGUCGAACGAAGGCCCUAGCUUGCUAGGUGUCCUUAGUGGCGCACGGGUGAGUAACACGUGGGAACAUACCCUAUAGUACGGAAUAACUGCGGGAAACUGUAGCUAAUACCGUAUAUUCCAGCAAUGGGAAAGAUUUAUCGCUAUAGGAUUGGCCCGCGCAAGAUUAGCUUGUUGGUGAGGUAAAAGCUCACCAAGGCUUCGAUCUUUAGCUGGUUUGAGAGGAUGAUCAGCCACACUGGGACUGAGACACGGCCCAGACUCCUACGGGAGGCAGCAGUAGGGAAUAUUGGACAAUGGGGGCAACCCUGAUCCAGCAAUGCAGCGUGAGUGACGAAGGCCUUAGGGUUGUAAAACUCUUUCAUCGGUGAGGAUAAUGACAGUAGCCGA
RNAcentral lists this ribosomal RNA (417 nucleotides) under uncultured Alphaproteobacteria bacterium. Its description in RNAcentral is "bacterial SSU rRNA". It matches the Rfam family "Bacterial small subunit ribosomal RNA", at positions 31 to 482 of the family's 1533-position model. The record is from RNAcentral. Lineage: Bacteria; Pseudomonadati; Pseudomonadota; Alphaproteobacteria.